GUCCACGCUGUAAACGAUGAAAACUAGAUGUUGGUGAGCAUGACUCAUUAGUAUCGAAGCUAACGCGAUAAGUUUUCCGCCUGGGGAGUACGGCCGCAAGGUUAAAACUCAAAGGAAUUGACGGGGGCCCGCACAAGCGGUGGAGCAUGUGGUUUAAUUCGAUGCAACGCGAAGAACCUUACCUACCCUUGACAUCCUAAGAAUCUGGUAGAGAUAUCGGAGUGCCGAAAGGAAUUUAGAGACAGGUGCUGCAUGGCUGUCGU
Molecule: ribosomal RNA, 263 nt
Filed under: uncultured bacterium
Lineage: Bacteria
Description: partial 16S ribosomal RNA
Rfam family: Bacterial small subunit ribosomal RNA
Source: RNAcentral